This 7296-nucleotide long non-coding RNA is filed under the name Lupinus angustifolius (narrow-leaved blue lupine). Its description in RNAcentral is "long non-coding RNA (LANG_LNC001978)". Lineage: Eukaryota; Viridiplantae; Streptophyta; Magnoliopsida; Fabales; Fabaceae. The record is from RNAcentral.
CGCUGCAAGGAAUUGUGAGACGACCCAUUGGAUGAUCAUAUCCAAACUCUUGCUCAGCUUGACUCAGCAAAUCUUGAAAUAAAGGUGUGUUCAAGUAUGAUAUUGGUAUCACAAAUCGCUUUUGUUUCUCUCCAACAUACACUGCAAGAUACCCCUUUGGAACUUCUACACAUUUUGAAGUUGCUUUGCUAGCACCAAGUGAUGCCCUUCGGAUAGCAGUUAAACGGAAACCCAUUUGUUGUUUUUGUUUGAAGUAAGAAGAACAAGGCAAAACUCUCAAAUUUGAGAAGUGACUAAGUUUUAAUGUUUAGGAAUGCAAAUGACUUGUGUUAAUUGUGAAGGGAAGAAGUAUUUAUUUAUAGACUUUAAGGGACUCUUGAAACCCAAUUCCAAGAGAAAUGAUUAUUGAGAGGUUUUAAAUGAUAGGGACAUGCAUAAGAGAUAUCACAUGGUAUUGUCUUAGAGGCCUCUAUCAAGGAUUAACAAGUUGUUAAAGAGUAUACCCCACCUUCUCAAAGGAAUGGCCUACAAAUAACCCACUUAAAAUAAUUCAAAGACUUAGCAAAUUUGACAUCUCACAUGUUUCUUCAGAUUGAGAAUUAUGUGGAUAUGCAUCAUUUACCAACUAAUAUCAAAGUCAUAGUAUGAAAUCUAUAUACAUGAGCAAGACCUGAAUGAUAGCUCUUAAACACAGUGUUUGGAGGCAAUAACAGAACCAAUACUGAAUACAUGAUCAUGACCCACCAUGAACCAUAUUAUGUGUACAUCAGAUUUCAAGAAGUAUUGGUUGCAUAAAAUGAGGCAUUCUAUGCUGUCAUCAAUUUAUUAUGAUGCUCCCUCUGCAAAAAUGGCUACAUUAUUUAUUUUUUCUUUGUAUCUACCAUGCCUAGUUUUGGGAGCUUACAAAAUGGGUAGCCUCCUCCAUACAGUAUGAGGCUUUUGUAAUCUGCUCCAGUUUACUCUUAUAUGUAAUCUCUAUGGCCAAACAGCCUUUUAUAGUUCCAUAAUUCGCUAAUAAGAUUUAUGAUGUCCAUAUUCUGGUAUACAUGAUGCUUUUCAUUGAAAGAAAUGAGUUUGAUUCAUUCAAAAGAAAAUUCUUUAGUUUACACAUCAGUGAUGGCAUGAUGGAAGAUUACCACUCAGUUAUGGCAUUACUGCAAAAUACAGCAGUCAUAAAUUCAAGAAGAAUAGAUAAAGAAAAAGCUUGUUAGUUAGUUUAUUCCUUGUUGUAUCUAAGAACACCAUGUUCCUAUAAAAAAGACCUUCAUGGCCUACUUUUCUAGUUUCAGACAUGCAACAAGUGAAAUGUUGUGUUCAUAUUAAUGUAGGCCAACUGCAGCUACUGGUACUUGAAAUGAUUAUAUAUGUAAAGAGAGUGAUUAGUUACAUCACUGGAAUUGGAAACAAUCAGAGUCACCUCCUUUAAUAUUACUAAUACAAGGAAGGAAUAAAUGGUAAAUGUCUGUACAAAUAGGCCAAGCAUUUUAUGCAACCAUUUUAAUUAUAAUUGUAACAUUGAAUUACAUGAUCACAAACCACAUUUUUUUUGUUCAUCUGAUUCCAAUUAACACCAGGUAAAUAUGCAUACAUGAAAGUUCUGGCACCUUCUCCACCAACUUAAUUGAUUAUAUGUAAACUUGCUCAAAUUAGACAUUUCUAGCAUACAUAUGUCUGUUUUAAUUCAACUGUUGAUCCUUGAGAAAGUCCUCUAGGACAACACCAUUUGACCUCUUAUAUGCGAGAAAAGGGUUUGUGUUUCCAUUGUCAUACUUGACCUAACCUUCAUUCCAAGACUUCCUGAGUCAAACCAAGGAAGAAUUUGGGUAUGGGCAGUUUCACAAUUCUUUGCAGAGAAGAUGUGUUCUUAGAUGUUACUUCACACUUCGGUAGCUGCUAAACAUAUCAACAUAAAGCCUCAUAUAGACAUAAACAUAAUUUUUGUAACCCAGUCUUAGAUUUAAAAUAUUUUCACUUUUCCUUAUCCUACUUAAAUUAACACAACAUAUUCCUUUCAUUUUCUCAUCAAAUCUCAGUGUUCAGCAAACCAAAUAAACUGUGUUUGGUUUAGUAUCUUUAGGAGAUAAAAUAAAAUUUUCCCUCCUGGUCCUAUAAUAAACUGUAGUAAUUUCUUUACUAUAAAAAAAAGUAGUUACUUGAUAUGAAUGCAGAGGAGGGGUUUUACCAUAUCUAGUUACCAGGAAAUUGAAAUAAAUUUCGUGAUCUACUUAUGUAGCCACAACCACUUGUUAUUUGUUAUCAUGAUAUAUACUGGUUUUGAGUUAAUAAGAGACAUGUUAGAAUUUUGAGUAAUCCAAUCCUUAAGUGAAGUUAGGUAUAUCUUAUUUUCAGUUAGAAGUUAUUUUUGAAAAGUAGCUAAAGCACUACAAGGGAAAAUAACUUUGAAAAGAUUCAUAACAUAAUAUGAAAAAACCAAUUCAAAUUUGACUAAAAAGGUAUAAUAUCUAUAUUCAUAACUGUUUCAAGCAACCAAUAAGAUGCAUUUUACAGUUUCCAAAGAAGUAUAACAAGAAAGAUGAAAGUGUCUGCUAUACAAUGCCAAUUAGCCUCAACUAAUCUAUAUCAGUCUCCUUCGGUAUGACUUAUAGUCUAUUCAAGCGAGAAGCAAUGUCUAAGAAAGCAUCCUCCCUGCACGGAAUUGUAAGGCCACCCAUUGGAUGCUCAUAUCCAAAUUCUUCUUCAGCUUCAUUAAGUAACACUUGAAAUGAAGGUUGAUUCAAGUAUGAAACUGGAAUAACAAAACGCUUCAUUUUUGCUCCAACAUAGACUGCAAGGUACCCUUUCGGGACUUCCAUAGCUUUGGAAGCAAUUUGGAAUGAAACCCUUCUAAUACCAGGUAAGCGAAAUCCCAUUGUUAUAUGUUUUGCUACACACCAAGAAUUCAAGGACUUGUUUAAGAUAGAUUAUUUUGAAAUCUUAUUUUUCAAGUGACUUAUAUUGCUUGAGAAUGCCAUGAUGAGUUGAGUGUAUAUAUAGAUAAAAUGUGUCCUUAUUGUGUGGAAACAAUUCUGUACUGAAAUGAAUGGUUAAGGGGCUAUUUGAUGGGGUCUAGUAGGAGACAAGGGCUUAUGAAAGAUCACAUGGUAUUGUAAUAUUGUCUACAAGGUGUUUAACAAGGAUUGAUUUAGAUUUGAGGAUUGAUGCCUAAGUUGUUGUCUCCUUCAGAAAGAGUCUUAACAGACAAUAAGAUAAUAAUUGCAUAGCUGAUGUAAUGGCCUACUUGUAAUGUUUCAGACAUGCUCAAAACAUAUCACAUAGCUUCUAGUAUUGGUAAACCACAAGUUAUUGGAAUCUGAUCUAUAGAAAAUGAUAUCUAUCUGAUAGAUGUUUAGAUAAUAGAAUCAGAGGUAAGAAAAUAUCAUAUUUUUUGUGAUAAUAUCCAAACUAGCAUUACUAGUACUUGCAAGACAUAAAGCAUGGUCCCACAAUUGAGGCAACCACUUCAAUAAUCUCUAAAACAGUAGAAGUUAUCCAGUGUGGAGUGGUUAUAACUUAUAUUGAUUAGUAGCAUCCUCCCUGUAACAAAACUAGUGCAAAACAAAGCAUUUCUCGAAAUAAAAAGUGGUUCAAGAAUGCAGUAAAAUUGAAAUGAUUUCUGCCAAUUCAGUGUAAGAAUGACUUGUGUUCUGUGGCUUGUAAACUCAGUGACUGAUACAUAUGCAUAAUGCAAGCUUCUAUGUGGUGAGAGAUAGAACUCAUUAAAACUCGUGGCGUUGUCUUAGAGAGGUUUUCAUCAAGGAUUACUUGAGAAUUGUACAACAACAACCAAGCCUAUAUCCCACUAGGUGGAGUCGGCUACAUGGAUCAAACAACACAGUUACUUGAGAAUUGUGAUAUAAAAAUAUAUGCCCCACCCUUUUGCAAAAUUUGCCUAUGAAAAUGACCUUGAUGGUUUACUUUUUCAUGUUCUUAGACUUAAUAUGGUACAACUUUUCAACUUACAUCUAUUGUAAGCUGUAAUUCAAACUUCAGAGGGUUGUGUGAUGCCUUCCUAAAUCUAGGAUCCAUGACUACAUAACUUUUGGAACAAUGCUUUUUCUCUAUUGCUAGGCCAGGAUUAGGAUUGAAUCUUAAAAACCAAUUUUUUUGUGAGCUUCUCUAUCUUGGGAGAGGGAACAGUAUAAUAGAAAACUAAAGAUUAGAGAGCAAUAGGAUUCAGUAGUGUUUGUUGUUUUGUUUGGAAACUUUUAAGAGGGAGAUUGUAAACCAAGAAUGAAUUACUUAAAAGGAAUGUGAUAAUUAUGACUAUUAGUAUGAGUUGUGUCAUGUGCAAUAAUCAUGUGAAAUCUAUUGAGCAUUUAUUCUUAUCUUACGAGUUUACCAUGAGUGUGUGGAAAGGCUUCUACUCUUAGUUAUAAAUUUCUUUUUAUGCUCCGCCAACAAUUAUAGAGUUGUUUAAUCUUCAUGACUCAUUUAGUACAUCUAAAAGCUUAAAGUUGUGGAGAAUGUUGUGGUUUGCUGUGGUGUGGUCAUUAUGGAUUAUGAGAAAUGAAGUGACAUUUGGGGAAAAGGAUGUGAGCUAUAUUCAUUUAUUGAACUUGAUUCAAACUAGAUCUUGGACUUAGUUUUCUUCAUUUGUAUCUCCAAUUUCUUUAACUUUUGCAAAUUGGUGUAAUGAUCCAAAAACUUGUAUUCAUCUAACUUCUAAAAGAUCAAUAUUUGAUUUUCUCUUUGUAUUGGGUAAGUACUCCUUGUACUCCUAUUAAUAUAAUUUUUCCUUAUCGAAAAAAGUAGUGUUAAUUUUGACUUAAAUAUGUCUUUAGUCCCAAUGAAUUAAGGAGAUUUUGAUUGUGUUCCUCAUAAAGAAAAACCAUAUUUGGUAUUUGUUUACAGGAAGAAGAGCAAGACAAAAUUCUCAAAUUUGAGAAGAAAGUGUCUAAAUUGUAAUGCUUCAGGUUCCAAGUGACUUGUGUUGAUUGUGAAGCCAAAGGGGUGUUUAUAUAUAGAUUUUAAGGGUCUCUUGAAACCCAAUUCCAAGAGAAAAAUUUGAUGAAAGGGGCUAGGGGAAUAUGCCAUAUAAUACUGCCACUUGCAUUAAACCUGAUGUUUGUUGUUGGCUCAGACUCUUUAGGCAUAUCACUUUCAAAGGUUAGGAAAUAAAAUUGGAAUGCAUACCCCACCUUCUGAAAUAAUGGCUAACAGAUUACCUACUUGAAAAGUUGGAAAUAAUCCAAAGACAUCUACAUAAGCUAAUGUUUCUUCAUCCUUUGAUAUGCUUUAGACAUAUCACAUGUUUCUUCAGAUUGAAAUUGUUGUCAAUGUGCAUCAUCCACCAACUAAUAUCAUAGUGCCUUGUCUUCUAAGACAAUGUCAUUUGACCUCUUAUAUGUCCAUGUCUCCAAUAAGUCCCAUGAUUCUCAUCUCAACUAACUUAGUUAAUAAAAUGACAUGAGAUCAAAUUUCAUCCAUAUAUAUGAAAGAAAUAAUUAAGCCCAAGGAAAGCUAGUAAAUUCAAAUAGAAAUUUUUUCAUGAUGUACUUAUUUAGCCACAAUCACUUGUCAUGAUGUAUGAUGGGGUUGAAUGGUUCCUACCACAAGCACUAAACAAAUGAUGUUGCAGUUCACUAAUAUGAGGAGGUCCCAUUUUCUCUUAGUGUGUGUUUGGGUUAUUUUAUUUUUCACAUAUCAUAGUAAUCAAAACAUGAUAUUCAUCUAUUAAUGGGUCAGAUUAUUUGACUACUUAAUCUGCAUGUAAGCUUAUAUUGUUUAUGAACCUUUUCUAAUCACUUUAAAUUGUCUUCUAUUUAAAUAGACCAUAAAAUGAUUUAUAAUUUGUCUUCUCUAGUAUACAAAAGUAGACCAAGAGUUAAAUUUGUUAUAUUGUCUGGUCAAGCCAAACAACAUUAAAGGGAUGCAUGCUACUUAAAACUAAACUCAUAAAAUAAAAUGCCGGUCAAUACAUAAGACUCCUACUUAGUAAGGUUUUGGAAUGGUAGAUAUAUACAGUCUUAUCCAUGCAAACGAAAAUGUUGUUUCCAGGAUUUCAACCUGUUACAUCCUGGUCGCUAAGCAACAACUGAGUCAGACUCUUCUCCAUUACUGGAGAGGACAAAAUGUAAUAAUAAUGUAAAGUAAGCGGAUAAAAGUGUCAUUGUUUUUUGGUUUUUCUAUAUAUUUUUAACUAACUGUCCUCUCCAGUAAUAAAGAGGAGUCUGGCUCGCAACAACCUUACCUUUGUGUCAAGCUCAUCCUCUUAAAAUAUACAAAAUUUAAAUUGGAGCUUUGUUGAUUUGCUGGAUGGCUCUUAUUGGAUGAAGAUACAUUUGACUGAACCAACCAAAGUUGCUUUUCUGAGGGCUUAAAACUGAACACUUCAGAAAUUUGUAGAGGCUACCUAGAUAAUAAAUAUAGAACUUUUGAUUUCUUAAACACUGAUCUCAUUCUAUUAUUUUCCAAUUUCCAACUUGGGCCACUGAACUGUUAGGAUGAGCAAAUGAAAAUUACAGCAAGUGCCCUUGGCCUUCAACAUGAUUAAAGAAAUAACAGAAUCUGCAUAUGUAGAUAAACCUAACCAUGCAUCCAAUGACUGAGAACUUUCGUUAGAUUCAUAUGUCUUCUAUUGAAAUUCAUGAGAAUAAUAUAUAGUCUUAUUUAUACAGGCAUAGAUGUUCUGGCUUAGAAUUUAUGUAGUUUCAUUUAUACAGGUAUUAGUAGCCAUGCUCUUGAUAAAACAACAUGAGACACUAAGUGCAGGAAAAAGUGAACAUUAAUUAAUAAAGAGAAACACUUGAGUAGAUGAAUUCAUUGUCACUAGGCAAAAAUAGAGAACAUAACAUGUGAAUUUGUUAUUAUGGGGAUAUAGACUAAUCUAGUGUACAAAAUUUCACUACUAAUCUAUGUUAUGUAAAUACAGUCUGAGAUUUAAAGCCCAUUAAUUUGAGAAGUUAUAUCUUGGAAGACAUAUUCGCUGCAAGGAAUUGUGAGACGACCCAUUGGAUGAUCAUAUCCAAACUCUUGCUCAGCUUGACUCAGCAAAUCUUGAAAUAAAGGUGUGUUCAAGUAUGAUAUUGGUAUCACAAAUCGCUUUUGUUUCUCUCCAACAUACACUGCGAGAUACCCCUUUGGAACUUCUAUACAUUUUGAAGCUGCUUUGCUAGCACCAAGUGAUGCCCUUCGAAUAGCAGUUAAAUGGAAACCCAUUUGUUGUUUUUGUUUGUAGGAAGAAGAACAAGGCAAAAUUCUCAAAUUUGAGAAGUGACUAAGUUUUAAUGUUAGGAAUGCAAAUGACUUGUGUUAAUUGUGAAGGGAAGAUGUAUUUAUUUAUAGACUUUAAGGGAC